Myodes glareolus (Bank vole) is the source of this 2243-nucleotide non-coding RNA. Lineage: Eukaryota; Metazoa; Chordata; Mammalia; Rodentia; Cricetidae. The record is from RefSeq and is a predicted model, not a curated record.
GGUGCGGUUUUUGCCAUCUGGGAACUACUUUCCUUCGUCUCCAUUUUCACGGAUUAGCAGAGCUGGAGACCUGACACAGGCUUCCUAAUGAAAGAUAAAAGUGGAUGUUUACAAUAGUGUAGGACGGGGCCUGCGAGCAACUGGGCUUUCCCGCAGGUACUACCAUAAGGAACGCUUGUCAACUGGUUUUGUUUAAAAAAAAAUGUUGACUCCUUGAAUUGGGUCUAGAAGACACCUAGAGUGUCCAGUGGCUGUGCUACAACUUGUAGUCAAGUUGGAUUCCUGGAGCAACGAAAUGGAGGACACCAUCAGCUUAGAGAAAAAGAAAGAAAGUGACUGGCACCCUAGGUUGACAGGAGACAGUGAUUUUCAAAUUCCCUGAGCGUGACAACUUCCUGCCAUCUUUCCCAUCGGCUGCUACUCCAGAGAGGUGUUCUACAUUCCUGGCACUGCCAAAUCCUGGGGUUUCUGUUGCUCACAGUUUCAUGCAGUACCCUACUAUGGGUUUCCUGUAAGACUCUACCACAUACUUCCUGGAGUCCCAGACCUUGCUUUGAUGUGUUUCUCGAACCCACAUCUCUGAAAGACUCCUGAACUGCAUCGUCAGGUUUAGUCGUAGCGAUGAUCCUACUUCUUGACACCAACUUUCAUCUCAGUCAGUUUCCAUGCCAUGACAGAACACCUGGAAAUACGGCACAAGGGAGGUGGGAUUUAUUUUGACUUAUGGUUUCGGUCUGAUCACUUGACUCCAUUGUUUCUCUGGUCCUUGUAAUUGAUGAGCAGCGAGCAUGUGGUGGAGCAAAGUCUUCUCAUAGCAGGCAGGAGGCAGUGAGACCAAGAGAAGGCUCAGGAGACAAGAUAGCUAUUCCCAUCUAAGGAAUGCGCCCCCAGUGAUCCACUUUCUUCAACUCAGCCUCACUCCUAAGAGUACCAAAGAAGUCACAUUAGGGCCCAUGGUCCAGCUUUCUGCCAGAUGCUCCACUAGAUGGAAUUCAAUGUAUGAAUCUCAUUUUGGAGAGUGUACUUUUCCUUUGCCAGUCAUACUAGGUACUUUCCUGAGUGGUCCUUUUCGUGCAAAGGAAUUGCUUAACUUGUGCUUUUAUUCUGAAAAUGGAUCCUGUGCCAGAUCCACCCCUGGUUGCCCAUUGAAUUUGCACAAAGGAAUGCCAUGCUGGGAAUUUGUGUCUGUAAGUGGUUGUCUGAGUUCUGUGACUUGAAGUCCCAUGGCCUUGGCUGUUGAACUCUGCAGAAAUGAUCAUCCCUUAGCUCAGAUGAACUUUGUGACUCUGUUGCCACAUAAAUCUUUGAGGGAACCAUGUCUUGGUUUUACAUGUUUUGGUUGUUGUUGUUCUAUCCCUUCUACAUGUCUUUUUUGUUUGUGACCCAGUGAGUUUAAUUAGGAUUGCUUAUGGGAGUUUGGGUGAGGUGUUAUUUACAGGAACAUGGGCAACUGACUAAUGGCAAUACUACUGAAGAAAAUGUCUCUCCUUCUCCCAUUAGCCAUUAACUGCCUAUAAACCCUCAAGAAGGGGUGGAGCCUUGUUAAUUCCUUCUCUCUCCACGCUGAAGUGCUAAUGGGCCCAAUCCUGUGUCAAUAAUCACAGCUACCUUGUAUUCAUGAAUGCAAUUGCCCUUUCUUCAGUGUUCCCUGAGCCCUGAGGGAAAUGACAUAGAUGUCACAUUUAGAGUUGAACAUUCAACACUCACUUAUUCUCAGCACUUUGACCUCUUGAGUCUCUGCAGCAACCACCUCCCACUGAACAAAGCUGAUGAUGCAUUUAAUCUAUGGGCGUAACCAUAAAUAUAGGCGGCAGCUUGACAGGCGCAUGUUGUUCAUCUGUCAAAACAACAGUGGCUGUAGUAGUAGCAUGCUGACGAAUUAGGUCAGCACGAUAAAUAACCAGACCAGCUCAAGAACAACAGUUACAUUUUUUUAAUAGUUGAAAAGGGAAAACUCACACUACAAGAGUGGGAGGUUCAAAAUCCAAUAGGUCCAGAGAGCACCACACAGAGGGAGCAGUGCGCCUGAAUCUACCAGUAUUUCUACUUGGACCCCAGGUAGCCACACCCUAAUUAGAUGUGAUUGGUUGAUAGUUUCCUCAUCAUCUCACCCUUUUGUCUAAACAAGACCGAGCCAAACCCAAUAUAACUCUAUACAAUAGGAACAGAUACCAAAUAUAAAAUUACAAGCAAUAAACAAUAUUAACUAAGGAACGCAUAACAACAAAAGUUUUACUAAGCAU